AUGAGUUGGCAAGGAAGAUCAGCAUGUAGGCUUAGACCAAGACGGUAUGUGCAGCCUCCUGAGCUAACUGGGCCUGUGCUUGAGCCCAGUGAUGAGCAGCCUCAGCAAGAGGAACCACCACCUGAAAGUCGGGGUCUUACCUGGCCAGGAGAGAGAGGAAGAUCACGGUGCUGCUGAGAUUCUUGUGCUUGACCAGGAAGCUGAUCUCCGGGAGCUGUCUCAAAGACUGGGAUGAAUGUGGAGAUGGUCCUGAUGUCCGGGGAAUAUUCUGCCGAAAUCAGAGCAAUUUAAAUUGCCAGAAGGAGGUGAAGGGCAACCACAGGU
RNAcentral lists this long non-coding RNA (324 nucleotides) under Homo sapiens (human). RNAcentral's name for it is "non-protein coding lnc-MSANTD1-4:1". Lineage: Eukaryota; Metazoa; Chordata; Mammalia; Primates; Hominidae. The record is from RNAcentral.